GGGAAGAGGAGAGAAGGUGGUACAGGCCAAGGGAGAGGAGAGAAGGUGGUACAGGCCAAGGGAGAGGAGAAAAUGUGGUGCAGGCCAAGGGAGAGGAGAGAAGGUGGUACAGGCCAGGGAAGAGGAGAGAAGGUGGUGCUGGCUAGGGGAGAGGAGAGAAGGUAGUGCUGGCUAGGGGAGAGGAGAGAAGGAGGUGCUGGCUAGGGAGAGGAGAGAAGGUGGUGCUGGCUAGGGAGAGGAGAGGAGGUGGUGCUGGCUAGGGGAGAGGAGAGAAGGUGGUGCUGGCUAGGGGAGAGGAGAGAAGGAGGUGCUGGCUAGGGGAGAGGAGAGAAGGAGGUGCUGACCAGAGGAAAGGAGAAAACC
This is a long non-coding RNA of Oncorhynchus tshawytscha (Chinook salmon), 363 nucleotides long. Lineage: Eukaryota; Metazoa; Chordata; Actinopteri; Salmoniformes; Salmonidae. The record is from Ensembl.